GCGAACAGAUAAGGAGCUUGCUCCUUUGACGUUAGCGGCGGACGGGUGAGUAACACGUGGGUAACCUACCUAUAAGACUGGGAUAACUUCGGGAAACCGGAGCUAAUACCGGAUAACAUUUGGAACCGCAUGGUUCUAAAGUGAAAGAUGGUUUUGCUAUCACUUAUAGAUGGACCCGCGCCGUAUUAGCUAGUUGGUAAGGUAACGGCUUACCAAGGCAACGAUACGUAGCCGACCUGAGAGGGUGAUCGGCCACACUGGAACUGAGACACGGUCCAGACUCCUACGGGAGGCAGCAGUAGGGAAUCUUCCGCAAUGGGCGAAAGCCUGACGGAGCAACGCCGCGUGAGUGAUGAAGGGUUUCGGCUCGUAAAACUCUGUUAUUAGGGAAGAACAAAUGUGUAAGUAACUGUGCACAUCUUGACGGUACCUAAUCAGAAAGCCACGGCUAACUACGUGCCAGCAGCCGCGGUAAUACGUAGGUGGCAAGCGUUAUCCGGAAUUAUUGGGCGUAAAGCGCGCGUAGGCGGUUUCUUAAGUCUGAUGUGAAAGCCCACGGCUCAACCGUGGAGGGUCAUUGGAAACUGGGAAACUUGAGUGCAGAAGAGGAAAGUGGAAUUCCAUGUGUAGCGGUGAAAUGCGCAGAGAUAUGGAGGAACACCAGUGGCGAAGGCGACUUUCUGGUCUGUAACUGACGCUGAUGUGCGAAAGCGUGGGGAUCAAACAGGAUUAGAUACCCUGGUAGUCCACGCCGUAAACGAUGAGUGCUAAGUGUUAGGGGGUUUCCGCCCCUUAGUGCUGCAGCUAACGCAUUAAGC
RNAcentral lists this ribosomal RNA (818 nucleotides) under Staphylococcus pseudoxylosus. RNAcentral describes it as "bacterial SSU rRNA". It matches the Rfam family "Bacterial small subunit ribosomal RNA", at positions 66 to 865 of the family's 1533-position model. Lineage: Bacteria; Bacillati; Bacillota; Bacilli; Caryophanales; Staphylococcaceae. The record is from RNAcentral.